ACUACGGGUGGCAGCAGUGAGGAAUAUUGGUCAAUGGACGAGAGUCUGAACCAGCCAAGUAGCGUGAAGGAUGACUGCCCUAUGGGUUGUACACUUCUUUUAUAAAGGAAUAAAACGAGGCACGUGUGCCUUUUUGCAUGUACUUUAUGAAUAAGGAUCGUCUAACUCCGUGCCAGCAGCCGCGGUAAUACGGAGGAUCCGAGCGUUAUCCGGAUUUAUUGGGCUUAAAGGGAGCGUAGAUGGGUUGUUAAGUCAGUUGUGAAAGUUUGCGGCUCAACCGUAAAAUUGCAAUUGAUACUGGCAGUCUUGAGUACAGUUGAGGUAGGCGGAAUUCGUGGUGGAGCGGUGAAAUGCUUAGAGAUCACGAAGAACCCCGAUUGCGAAGGCAGCUUACUAAACUGUGACUGACAUUGAUGCUCGAAAGUGUGGGUAUCAAACAGGAUUAGAUACCCCUGUAGUC
Molecule: ribosomal RNA, 460 nt
Filed under: uncultured bacterium
Lineage: Bacteria
Description: partial 16S ribosomal RNA
Rfam family: Bacterial small subunit ribosomal RNA
Source: RNAcentral